UACGUAGGGGGCGAGCGUUGUCCGGAUUUACUGGGCGUAAAGCGCGUGUAGGCGGCUGCUUAAGUCGGGUGUGAAAGCCCGGGGCUCAACCCCGGGAUGCCGCCCGAGACUGGGCGGCUUGAGGUCGGAAGAGGGGAGUGGAAUUCCAGGUGUAGCGGUGAAAUGCGUAGAGAUCUGGAGGAACACCCGUGGCGAAGGCGGCUCCCUGGUCCGAUUCUGACGCUGAGACGCGAAAGCGCGGGGAGCGAACGGG
Molecule: ribosomal RNA, 253 nt
Filed under: uncultured bacterium
Lineage: Bacteria
Also listed under: 1 other name
Description: partial 16S ribosomal RNA
Rfam family: Bacterial small subunit ribosomal RNA
Source: RNAcentral